Molecule: ribosomal RNA, 2274 nt
Filed under: Escherichia coli
Lineage: Bacteria; Pseudomonadati; Pseudomonadota; Gammaproteobacteria; Enterobacterales; Enterobacteriaceae
Description: partial 23S ribosomal RNA
Rfam family: Bacterial large subunit ribosomal RNA
Source: RNAcentral
CGGGACACGUGGUAUCCUGUCUGAAUAUGGGGGGACCAUCCUCCAAGGCUAAAUACUCCUGACUGACCGAUAGUGAACCAGUACCGUGAGGGAAAGGCGAAAAGAACCCCGGCGAGGGGAGUGAAAAAGAACCUGAAACCGUGUACGUACAAGCAGUGGGAGCACGCUUAGGCGUGUGACUGCGUACCUUUUGUAUAAUGGGUCAGCGACUUAUAUUCUGUAGCAAGGUUAACCGAAUAGGGGAGCCGAAGGGAAACCGAGUCUUAACUGGGCGUUAAGUUGCAGGGUAUAGACCCGAAACCCGGUGAUCUAGCCAUGGGCAGGUUGAAGGUUGGGUAACACUAACUGGAGGACCGAACCGACUAAUGUUGAAAAAUUAGCGGAUGACUUGUGGCUGGGGGUGAAAGGCCAAUCAAACCGGGAGAUAGCUGGUUCUCCCCGAAAGCUAUUUAGGUAGCGCCUCGUGAAUUCAUCUCCGGGGGUAGAGCACUGUUUCGGCAAGGGGGUCAUCCCGACUUACCAACCCGAUGCAAACUGCGAAUACCGGAGAAUGUUAUCACGGGAGACACACGGCGGGUGCUAACGUCCGUCGUGAAGAGGGAAACAACCCAGACCGCCAGCUAAGGUCCCAAAGUCAUGGUUAAGUGGGAAACGAUGUGGGAAGGCCCAGACAGCCAGGAUGUUGGCUUAGAAGCAGCCAUCAUUUAAAGAAAGCGUAAUAGCUCACUGGUCGAGUCGGCCUGCGCGGAAGAUGUAACGGGGCUAAACCAUGCACCGAAGCUGCGGCAGCGACGCUGAUGCGUUGUUGGGUAGGGGAGCGUUCUGUAAGCCUGUGAAGGUGUGCUGUGAGGCAUGCUGGAGGUAUCAGAAGUGCGAAUGCUGACAUAAGUAACGAUAAAGCGGGUGAAAAGCCCGCUCGCCGGAAGACCAAGGGUUCCUGUCCAACGUUAAUCGGGGCAGGGUGAGUCGACCCCUAAGGCGAGGCCGAAAGGCGUAGUCGAUGGGAAACAGGUUAAUAUUCCUGUACUUGGUGUUACUGCGAAGGGGGGACGGAGAAGGCUAUGUUGGCCGGGCGACGGUUGUCCCGGUUUAAGCGUGUAGGCUGGUUUUCCAGGCAAAUCCGGAAAAUCAAGGCUGAGGCGUGAUGACGAGGCACUACGGUGCUGAAGCAACAAAUGCCCUGCUUCCAGGAAAAGCCUCUAAGCAUCAGGUAACAUCAAAUCGUACCCCAAACCGACACAGGUGGUCAGGUAGAGAAUACCAAGGCGCUUGAGAGAACUCGGGUGAAGGAACUAGGCAAAAUGGUGCCGUAACUUCGGGAGAAGGCACGCUGAUAUGUAGGUGAAGCGACUUGCUCGUGGAGCUGAAAUCAGUCGAAGAUACCAGCUGGCUGCAACUGUUUAUUAAAAACACAGCACUGUGCAAACACGAAAGUGGACGUAUACGGUGUGACGCCUGCCCGGUGCCGGAAGGUUAAUUGAUGGGGUCAGCGCAAGCGAAGCUCUUGAUCGAAGCCCCGGUAAACGGCGGCCGUAACUAUAACGGUCCUAAGGUAGCGAAAUUCCUUGUCGGGUAAGUUCCGACCUGCACGAAUGGCGUAAUGAUGGCCAGGCUGUCUCCACCCGAGACUCAGUGAAAUUGAACUCGCUGUGAAGAUGCAGUGUACCCGCGGCAAGACGGAAAGACCCCGUGAACCUUUACUAUAGCUUGACACUGAACAUUGAGCCUUGAUGUGUAGGAUAGGUGGGAGGCUUUGAAGUGUGGACGCCAGUCUGCAUGGAGCCGGCCUUGAAAUACCACCCUUUAAUGUUUGAUGUUCUAACGUUGACCCGUGAUCCGGGUUGCGGACAGUGUCUGGUGGGUAGUUUGACUGGGGCGGUCUCCUCCUAAAGAGUAACGGAGGAGCACGAAGGUUGGCUAAUCCUGGUCGGACAUCAGGAGGUUAGUGCAAUGGCAUAAGCCAGCUUGACUGCGAGCGUGACGGCGCGAGCAGGUGCGAAAGCAGGUCAUAGUGAUCCGGUGGUUCUGAAUGGAAGGGCCAUCGCUCAACGGAUAAAAGGUACUCCGGGGAUAACAGGCUGAUACCGCCCAAGAGUUCAUAUCGACGGCGGUGUUUGGCACCUCGAUGUCGGCUCAUCACAUCCUGGGGCUGAAGUAGGUCCCAAGGGUAUGGCUGUUCGCCAUUUAAAGUGGUACGCGAGCUGGGUUUAGAACGUCGUGAGACAGUUCGGUCCCUAUCUGCCGUGGGCGCUGGAGAACUGAGGGGGGCUGCUC